CGUACUGGCGGGUGGAGCGGUUCCACCGUGAACGGGACAACACCAGUCAACUUGAAAAAAAAAACAAUUAUAGGGGUCGAAGUGAGUGCUACCCGUUGUGUUGGAAGAUACGGUACAAGUGAUGUCUCCGCCCUAUUUCGACGCUUAUAUUAAGUCACGUCGAGAAACAAGUUUCUACUGAAACAGGUAAACACUGCCUUCAGAGAAGACAAAUCACGAAACUCAAACGUACCGAAAGCUGAUUCUUAUCUCUAGAGGUUGUAUUACUAAAUAUUCAUAGAAGACAAACAUCACAUCACUGAAACAUGGAGGAAGCCAAUUCUUGUUUUUAGGAGGGUCCACUUCUAAAUUUUAUCUUCAGAGAAGACAAACAUCACGCCACUUAAACAUGGAGAAAGCAAAUUCUUAUCUUCAGAGAAGACAAAAAUCACACCACUGAAAAAUGGAGGAAGCUAAUUCCUGUUUAUAGGAGGGU
This 475-nucleotide long non-coding RNA is filed under the name Limulus polyphemus (Atlantic horseshoe crab). RNAcentral's name for it is "uncharacterized LOC111086806, transcript variant X2". Lineage: Eukaryota; Metazoa; Arthropoda; Merostomata; Xiphosura; Limulidae. The record is from RNAcentral.